UACGGGGGGGGCAAGCGUUGUUCGGAAUUACUGGGCGUAAAGGGCGCGUAGGCGGCCUUCUAAGUCGGACGUGAAAUCCCUCGGCUUAACCGAGGAACUGCGUCCGAUACUGAAAGGCUUGAAUCCGGGAGAGGGAUGUGGAAUUCCAGGUGUAGCGGUGAAAUGCGUAGAUAUCUGGAGGAACGCCGGUGGCGAAGGCGGCAUCCUGGACCGGUAUUGACGCUGAGGCGCGAAAGCUAGGGGAGCAAACGGG
This 253-nucleotide ribosomal RNA is filed under the name uncultured bacterium. Its description in RNAcentral is "partial 16S ribosomal RNA". It matches the Rfam family "Bacterial small subunit ribosomal RNA", at positions 524 to 776 of the family's 1533-position model. The record is from RNAcentral.